UACAGAGGGUGCGAGCGUUAAUCGGAUUUACUGGGCGUAAAGGGUGCGUAGGCGGGUUUUUAAGUCGGAUGUGAAAUCCCCGAGCUUAACUUGGGAAUUGCAUUCGAUACUGGUAAGCUAGAGUAUGGGAGAGGAUGGUAGAAUUCCAGGUGUAGCGGUGAAAUGCGUAGAGAUCAGGUGGAAUACCGAUGGCGAAGGCAGCCCACUGGCCUUAUACUGACGCUGAGGUACGAAAGCGUGGGUAGCAAACAGG
RNAcentral lists this unclassified non-coding RNA (253 nucleotides) under uncultured Moraxellaceae bacterium. RNAcentral's name for it is "contains 16S-23S intergenic spacer region". It matches the Rfam family "Bacterial small subunit ribosomal RNA", at positions 524 to 776 of the family's 1533-position model. The record is from RNAcentral. Lineage: Bacteria; Pseudomonadati; Pseudomonadota; Gammaproteobacteria; Moraxellales; Moraxellaceae.